Molecule: ribosomal RNA, 1302 nt
Filed under: Salmonella enterica subsp. enterica serovar Newport
Lineage: Bacteria; Pseudomonadati; Pseudomonadota; Gammaproteobacteria; Enterobacterales; Enterobacteriaceae
Description: bacterial SSU rRNA
Rfam family: Bacterial small subunit ribosomal RNA
Source: RNAcentral
GUUGGUGAGGUAAUGGCUCACCAAGGCGACGAUCCCUAGCUGGUCUGAGAGGAUGACCAGCCACACUGGAACUGAGACACGGUCCAGACUCCUACGGGAGGCAGCAGUGGGGAAUAUUGCACAAUGGGCGCAAGCCUGAUGCAGCCAUGCCGCGUGUAUGAAGAAGGCCUUCGGGUUGUAAAGUACUUUCAGCGGGGAGGAAGGUGUUGCGGUUAAUAACCGCAGCAAUUGACGUUACCCGCAGAAGAAGCACCGGCUAACUCCGUGCCAGCAGCCGCGGUAAUACGGAGGGUGCAAGCGUUAAUCGGAAUUACUGGGCGUAAAGCGCACGCAGGCGGUCUGUCAAGUCGGAUGUGAAAUCCCCGGGCUCAACCUGGGAACUGCAUUCGAAACUGGCAGGCUUGAGUCUUGUAGAGGGGGGUAGAAUUCCAGGUGUAGCGGUGAAAUGCGUAGAGAUCUGGAGGAAUACCGGUGGCGAAGGCGGCCCCCUGGACAAAGACUGACGCUCAGGUGCGAAAGCGUGGGGAGCAAACAGGAUUAGAUACCCUGGUAGUCCACGCCGUAAACGAUGUCUACUUGGAGGUUGUGCCCUUGAGGCGUGGCUUCCGGAGCUAACGCGUUAAGUAGACCGCCUGGGGAGUACGGCCGCAAGGUUAAAACUCAAAUGAAUUGACGGGGGCCCGCACAAGCGGUGGAGCAUGUGGUUUAAUUCGAUGCAACGCGAAGAACCUUACCUGGUCUUGACAUCCACAGAACUUUCCAGAGAUGGAUUGGUGCCUUCGGGAACUGUGAGACAGGUGCUGCAUGGCUGUCGUCAGCUCGUGUUGUGAAAUGUUGGGUUAAGUCCCGCAACGAGCGCAACCCUUAUCCUUUGUUGCCAGCGGUCCGGCCGGGAACUCAAAGGAGACUGCCAGUGAUAAACUGGAGGAAGGUGGGGAUGACGUCAAGUCAUCAUGGCCCUUACGACCAGGGCUACACACGUGCUACAAUGGCGCAUACAAAGAGAAGCGACCUCGCGAGAGCAAGCGGACCUCAUAAAGUGCGUCGUAGUCCGGAUUGGAGUCUGCAACUCGACUCCAUGAAGUCGGAAUCGCUAGUAAUCGUGGAUCAGAAUGCCACGGUGAAUACGUUCCCGGGCCUUGUACACACCGCCCGUCACACCAUGGGAGUGGGUUGCAAAAGAAGUAGGUAGCUUAACCUUCGGGAGGGCGCUUACCACUUUGUGAUUCAUGACUGGGGUGAAGUCGUAACAAGGUAACCGUAGGGGAACCUGCGGUUGGAUCACCUCCUUACCUGAAAGAA